Molecule: ribosomal RNA, 750 nt
Filed under: Streptococcus salivarius
Lineage: Bacteria; Bacillati; Bacillota; Bacilli; Lactobacillales; Streptococcaceae
Description: bacterial SSU rRNA
Rfam family: Bacterial small subunit ribosomal RNA
Source: RNAcentral
AUAAUGCAAGUAGACGCUGAAGAGAGGAGCUUGCUCUUCUUGGAUGAGUUGCGAACGGGUGAGUAACGCGUAGGUAACCUGCCUUGUAGCGGGGGAUAACUAUUGGAAACGAUAGCUAAUACCGCAUAACAAUGGAUGACACAUGUCAUUUAUUUGAAAGGGGCAAUUGCUCCACUACAAGAUGGACCUGCGUUGUAUUAGCUAGUAGGUGAGGUAACGGCUCACCUAGGCGACGAUACAUAGCCGACCUGAGAGGGUGAUCGGCCACACUGGGACUGAGACACGGCCCAGACUCCUACGGGAGGCAGCAGUAGGGAAUCUUCGGCAAUGGGGGCAACCCUGACCGAGCAACGCCGCGUGAGUGAAGAAGGUUUUCGGAUCGUAAAGCUCUGUUGUAAGUCAAGAACGAGUGUGAGAGUGGAAAGUUCACACUGUGACGGUAGCUUACCAGAAAGGGACGGCUAACUACGUGCCAGCAGCCGCGGUAAUACGUAGGUCCCGAGCGUUGUCCGGAUUUAUUGGGCGUAAAGCGAGCGCAGGCGGUUUGAUAAGUCUGAAGUUAAAGGCUGUGGCUCAACCAUAGUUCGCUUUGGAAACUGUCAAACUUGAGUGCAGAAGGGGAGAGUGGAAUUCCAUGUGUAGCGGUGAAAUGCGUAGAUAUAUGGAGGAACACCGGUGGCGAAAGCGGCUCUCUGGUCUGUAACUGACGCUGAGGCUCGAAAGCGUGGGGAGCGAACAGGAUUAGAUACC